RNAcentral lists this ribosomal RNA (454 nucleotides) under Fusarium circinatum. RNAcentral's name for it is "eukaryotic LSU rRNA". The stretch from base 107 to 260 matches the Rfam family "5.8S ribosomal RNA". Lineage: Eukaryota; Fungi; Ascomycota; Sordariomycetes; Hypocreales; Nectriaceae. The record is from RNAcentral.
UGCCUCGGCGGAUCAGCCCGCUCCCGGUAAAACGGGACGGCCCGCCAGAGGACCCCUAAACUCUGUUUCUAUAUGUAACUUCUGAGUAAAACCAUAAAUAAAUCAAAACUUUCAACAACGGAUCUCUUGGUUCUGGCAUCGAUGAAGAACGCAGCAAAAUGCGAUAAGUAAUGUGAAUUGCAGAAUUCAGUGAAUCAUCGAAUCUUUGAACGCACAUUGCGCCCGCCAGUAUUCUGGCGGGCAUGCCUGUUCGAGCGUCAUUUCAACCCUCAAGCCCAGCUUGGUGUUGGGACUCGCGAGUUAAAUCGCGUUCCCCAAAUUGAUUGGCGGUCACGUCGAGCUUCCAUAGCGUAGUAGUAAAACCCUCGUUACUGGUAAUCGUCGCGGCCACGCCGUUAAACCCCAACUUCUGAAUGUUGACCUCGGAUCAGGUAGGAAUACCCGCUGAACUUAA